This 459-nucleotide ribosomal RNA is filed under the name Salmonella enterica. RNAcentral describes it as "bacterial SSU rRNA". It matches the Rfam family "Bacterial small subunit ribosomal RNA", at positions 1 to 456 of the family's 1533-position model. The record is from RNAcentral. RNAcentral also lists the same sequence under 1 other name. Lineage: Bacteria; Pseudomonadati; Pseudomonadota; Gammaproteobacteria; Enterobacterales; Enterobacteriaceae.
AAAUUGAAGAGUUUGAUCAUGGCUCAGAUUGAACGCUGGCGGCAGGCCUAACACAUGCAAGUCGAACGGUAACAGGAAGCAGCUUGCUGCUUCGCUGACGAGUGGCGGACGGGUGAGUAAUGUCUGGGAAACUGCCUGAUGGAGGGGGAUAACUACUGGAAACGGUGGCUAAUACCGCAUAACGUCGCAAGACCAAAGAGGGGGACCUUCGGGCCUCUUGCCAUCAGAUGUGCCCAGAUGGGAUUAGCUAGUUGGUGAGGUAACGGCUCACCAAGGCGACGAUCCCUAGCUGGUCUGAGAGGAUGACCAGCCACACUGGAACUGAGAGACGGUCCAGACUCCUACGGGAGGCAGCAGUGGGGAAUAUUGCACAAUGGGCGCAAGCCUGAUGCAGCCAUGCCGCGUGUAUGAAGAAGGCCUUCGGGUUGUAAAGUACUUUCAGCGGGGAGGAAGGUGUUG